UACGGGAGGCAGCAGUGGGGAAUAUUGCACAAUGGGCGCAAGCCUGAUGCAGCCAUGCCGCGUGUAUGAAGAAGGCCUUCGGGUUGUAAAGUACUUUCAGUCGUGAGGAAGGUGUUAAGGUUAAUAACCUUAGCAAUUGACGUUAGCGACAGAAGAAGCACCGGCUAACUCCGUGCCAGCAGCCGCGGUAAUACGGAGGGUGCGAGCGUUAAUCGGAAUUACUGGGCGUAAAGGGCACGCAGGCGGUUAAUUAAGUUGGAUGUGAAAUCCCCGGGCUUAACCUGGGAAUGGCAUUCAAGACUGGUUAGCUAGAGUCUUGUAGAGGGGGUAGAAUUCCAUGUGUAGCGGUGAAAUGCGUAGAGAUGUGGAGGAAUACCGGUGGCGAAGGCGGCCCCUGGGACAAAGACUGACGCUCACGUGCGAAAGCGUGGGGAGCAAACAGGGAUUAGAUACC
RNAcentral lists this ribosomal RNA (454 nucleotides) under uncultured bacterium. Its description in RNAcentral is "bacterial SSU rRNA". It matches the Rfam family "Bacterial small subunit ribosomal RNA", at positions 340 to 786 of the family's 1533-position model. The record is from RNAcentral.